GCCGUCGUGGUGGAAUUGGUAGACACGCCGUCUUGAGGGGGCGGUGGCGAAAGCCGUGAGAGUUCGAGUCUCUCCGUCGGCACCA
RNAcentral lists this transfer RNA (85 nucleotides) under Betaproteobacteria bacterium RIFCSPLOWO2_02_FULL_62_17. RNAcentral describes it as "tRNA-Leu". It matches the Rfam family "tRNA". Rfam says of the family: Transfer RNA (tRNA) molecules are approximately 80 nucleotides in length. Lineage: Bacteria; Pseudomonadati; Pseudomonadota; Betaproteobacteria. RNAcentral also lists the same sequence under 1 other name. The record is from RNAcentral.